UGGGGAAUAUUGCGCAAUGGACGAAAGUCUGACGCAGCGACGCCGCGUGGAGGAUGAAGCCCCUUGGGGCGUAAACUCCUUUCGACCAAGACGAUAAUGACGGUACUGGUGGAAGAAGCACCGGCUAACUCUGUGCCAGCAGCCGCGGUAAUACAGAGGGUGCAAGCGUUGUUCGGAAUUAUUGGGCGUAAAGGGCGCGUAGGCGGCGCGGUAAGUCACCUGUGAAAUCUCCAAGCUUAACUUGGAGCCUGCAGGCGAAACUGCCGUGCUGGAGUAUGGGAGAGGUGCGUGGAAUUCCCGGUGUAGCGGUGAAAUGCGUAGAGAUCGGAAGGAACACCAGUGGCGAAGGCGGCUACCUGGCCAAAUACUGACACUGAAGCACGAAAGCGUGGGGAGCAAACAGG
Molecule: ribosomal RNA, 404 nt
Filed under: uncultured bacterium
Lineage: Bacteria
Description: bacterial SSU rRNA
Rfam family: Bacterial small subunit ribosomal RNA
Source: RNAcentral